Molecule: non-coding RNA, 145 nt
Filed under: Vigna radiata var. radiata (mung bean)
Lineage: Eukaryota; Viridiplantae; Streptophyta; Magnoliopsida; Fabales; Fabaceae
Description: Bacterial large subunit ribosomal RNA
Rfam family: Bacterial large subunit ribosomal RNA
Source: Rfam by way of RNAcentral
ACCUUUGCCUGAAGGCGAAUAUGUCAAUGACUCAACUCUUUACAAAGGUAAGCCGACGACCGAAGCCCCGGUGAAUGGCGACCGUAACGAUAACGGUCCUAAGGUAGCGAAAUUCCUUGUGGGGUAAGUUUCGACAUGCACGAAA